RNAcentral lists this small nuclear RNA (175 nucleotides) under Peromyscus maniculatus bairdii (prairie deer mouse). RNAcentral describes it as "U2 spliceosomal RNA (ENSPEMG00000001655.2)". It matches the Rfam family "U2 spliceosomal RNA". From Rfam's summary of the family: U2 is a small nuclear RNA (snRNA) component of the spliceosome (involved in pre-mRNA splicing). The record is from Rfam by way of RNAcentral. Lineage: Eukaryota; Metazoa; Chordata; Mammalia; Rodentia; Cricetidae.
AUCGCUUCUUGGCCUUUUGGCUAGGAUCAAGUGUAGUAUCUGUUCUUAUCAGUUUAAUAUCUGAUACCAAUACAUUAAUUAGAUCUUUGGAAGUAGGAGUUGGAAUAGGAGCUUGCUCCAUCUACUCCACACUUCGACCUAGUAUUGCAGUACCUCCAGAAAUGGUGAAUAUAAG